RNAcentral lists this long non-coding RNA (679 nucleotides) under Rosa chinensis. RNAcentral describes it as "sRNA RchiOBHm_Chr2g0115701". Lineage: Eukaryota; Viridiplantae; Streptophyta; Magnoliopsida; Rosales; Rosaceae. The record is from RNAcentral.
GGCACUGUUCAUAGCACUGUUUUCCUGAAAGGACGGUUUUGCCCUUUUUUUCUUAGUGAUUUACGGCUUGCCAUUGCAUAUCUGUGUUUAAAUUGUUUUUGCCCUAUCGGGUUGUGGUCAGACCAAAAAUAAAACAAGGAAAAAGAAAAGUGAUUGUCGUGUCGUGUUUGAGCAGAAAGCGAGAGGAUGGUUCGUAAGCUUUCUCUUUUCUGCUGCUAUUGCUUUCGUUAGUAUUUGUGUGGUUUGAUUGGGUCUUUUGUUGUCGGCGGUUUUGAAUUUUUAUUUUGACUGGGGUCUUUUGCUGUGAGGAAGAAGAAGACCUGUGCGCUAUCUGUUAUAUCCUUUCAGAAUAUAGGCGAAUCGAGCUUCAGCUUCGCUGUUCUGUGUGAUCAAAUUUUUCCAUCGACGUCAACCAUUGUGAAAGCUUGGUGGGAUUUCGAUUUGAUAAAGAGAUUGGGUUUUUUUUCCUGCGGUUCUGGAAAAGAAAGGACAAGAGGAGAAAUUUAAUCCCAAGGGGUCAAGAUUGCAUUAUACUUGGACAUGGUCUAUGUAGUAGAUUAAGGAAGUUGAAUUCAAGAGAGAGUUGCCUCCAGGUGAGAUAAUGAUAAUGCCGUGGAAUGUAACUGUUAGACAGCUAAAAUAGGAACCUGAGAGUGUCCUAAAGGAUGCAUAUUAACAG